UCAGACAUAACAUCUUGCGCUGUUUUUCUGUUUUUUUAAUUUUUCUUCGGCAGACAGACGCAGCGUCUGAAAGUCACCGACUCAGCCUUUUAGCGAGCAGGUGCUGGCUGCUGACAGAUGGAGGCGGGACAUUUAAUAGUCGCCAGCUGGAAACAACGUCCUGUUUGAGCAGCAUGAUUGGCGGCGGUUUGUAAUCCCAAACAUUCAUGAGAUUGUUUUUUGUGGCCCUGACUACUGCUCACCUGCACAACAGGUUGGGUCACUGAGAGGUUACCUGUGUGAGGAAGCAGCCGCUGUGUGUGUGUGAUCAACUAAGCCUGCAGACUGAUUUGCCUGGGAAGGACACAGGAAGUCAGUAACAUCACCAAACUAUCGGCCUUAAGCACAACACAAACUCCACACAAGGACAAAAACUAACUAUGAUUUGGCCUUACACGGGCUUUAGAUAGAGCUAAAGCAGCAGCAAUGAUGUCAUAGCUUGAAGAAGGAGCAGGACUCCAUCAGCCAAGGAUGAGCUUCACCCUGUCACAGGUCCGACAGCUGCUCCUACAAAACCAUCCAGUCAGUCAUGUGACCAUCAAAGAGUCAGAA
This is a long non-coding RNA of Oreochromis niloticus (Nile tilapia), 591 nucleotides long. RefSeq lists it as uncharacterized. NCBI's taxonomy places the organism in Eukaryota, Metazoa, Chordata, Actinopteri, Cichliformes, Cichlidae. The record is from RefSeq and is a predicted model, not a curated record. The transcript is spliced from 3 exons.